AGAGAGAGAGAGAGAGAGAGAGAGAGAGAGAGAGAGAGAGAGAGAGAGAGAGAGGGACUGCCAAGAGCGGAUGCCAUAGAGCGGAAAGUGGUCUACUGGUGAUCAAAGAUUCUAAGAGCUCGAGAGAAAGACAGAGAAAGAGACAGAAAGCGAGAGAGAAAGAGAGCAGAUAACGCUAUCUAAAUUAACGGCCGUUGCUCUGUACUCGAAUACGACUCCGCAUUGGUGUUCGAAUAAACGGAUCUUGGCAUCGGGAAGCGAAUAGGAAACGAGAGAGCGAGCGAUUGAUAGACCGGGAGCACCGACAACGUAAGAUAGGGCAAGAAAGAGAAGA
Molecule: long non-coding RNA, 334 nt
Organism: Priapulus caudatus
Lineage: Eukaryota; Metazoa; Priapulida; Priapulimorpha; Priapulimorphida; Priapulidae
Exons: 3
Source: RefSeq, a predicted model, not a curated record